This 484-nucleotide ribosomal RNA is filed under the name uncultured bacterium. Its description in RNAcentral is "partial 16S ribosomal RNA". It matches the Rfam family "Bacterial small subunit ribosomal RNA", at positions 29 to 508 of the family's 1533-position model. The record is from RNAcentral.
AUUGAACGCUGGCGGAAUGCUUUACACAUGCAAGUCGAACGGCAGCACGGGGGCAACCCUGGUGGCGAGUGGCGAACGGGUGAGUAAUACAUCGGAACGUGCCCGGUCGUGGGGGAUAACGUAGCGAAAGUUACGCUAAUACCGCAUACGAUCUGAGGAUGAAAGCGGGGGACCUUCGGGCCUCGCGCGAUCGGAGCGGCCGAUGUCAGAUUAGGUAGUUGGUGGGGUAAAGGCCUACCAAGCCGACGAUCUGUAGCUGGUCUGAGAGGACGACCAGCCACACGGGGACUGAGACACGCCCCAGACUCCUGCGGGAGGCAGCAGGGGGAAAUUUUGAAAAAUGGGCGAAGGCCUGACCCAGCCUUGCCGCGUGCAGGAGGAAGUCCUUGGGGUUGUAACCUUUUUUUGUAGGAAAGGAAAAGUCUUUGGCUAAUCCCGGGGGCUAAGGACGGUACGGAAAAAAAAAGCCCCGGCAACCUCGGGC